RNAcentral lists this transfer RNA (84 nucleotides) under Candidatus Taylorbacteria bacterium CG11_big_fil_rev_8_21_14_0_20_46_11. RNAcentral describes it as "tRNA-Leu". It matches the Rfam family "tRNA". Rfam says of the family: Transfer RNA (tRNA) molecules are approximately 80 nucleotides in length. Their secondary structure includes four short double-helical elements and three loops (D, anti-codon, and T loops). The record is from RNAcentral. Lineage: Bacteria; Candidatus Tayloriibacteriota.
GGGCGGGUGGCGAAAUGGUAUACGCGCUGGUUUUAGGAACCAGUGGAGCAAUCCGUGGAGGUUCAAGUCCUCUCCCGCCCACAA